RNAcentral lists this unclassified non-coding RNA (420 nucleotides) under uncultured Ascomycota. RNAcentral's name for it is "sequence contains ITS2". The stretch from base 1 to 155 matches the Rfam family "5.8S ribosomal RNA". Lineage: Eukaryota; Fungi; Ascomycota. The record is from RNAcentral.
AACUUUUGGCAACGGAUCUCUUGGCUCUUGCAACGAUGAAGAACGCAGCAAAAUGCGACAAGUAUUGAGACAUGCAAUCUUUGAGAAACAACCAGUUUUUGAACGCACCUUGCACCGACCGGCCAGCGCCCGUCGGUAUACUUGUUUGAGCAUCGACGCAGCUCUGUCCGCGUGCAGCGGGACGGGACAUGGCCUUUUCGCGCAGGCGAGUGGGCCGAAAGGCAGCGGCGCGGCGGCGCGCACAUGGGACAAGCGCACAGCGCACAGCAGUGUGGGAGAACAUGGGCGCGCGCGGCAGGCGACGAACGAGGUUGGAUGGGAACGCACGCGCGAACCCGCCCACCACCAUCAGAACAACCAACCGAUCUCAAAUCAAGUAGGAAGACCCGCCGAACUUAAGCAUAUCAAUAAGCGGAGGCU